RNAcentral lists this ribosomal RNA (660 nucleotides) under uncultured bacterium. RNAcentral's name for it is "bacterial SSU rRNA". It matches the Rfam family "Bacterial small subunit ribosomal RNA", at positions 94 to 788 of the family's 1533-position model. The record is from RNAcentral.
AGUGGCGGACGGGUGAGUAACGCGUGAGAAUCUGCCUUGGGGUCGGGGACAACCACUGGAAACGGUGGCUAAUACCGGAUAAGCCGAUUGGUGAAAGAUUUAUUGCCCGAAGAGGAGCUCGCGUCUGAUUAGCUAGUUGGUGAGGUAAGAGCUCACCAAGGCAGCGAUCAGUAGCUGGUCUGAGAGGACGAUCAGCCACACUGGGACUGAGACACGGCCCAGACUCCUACGGGAGGCAGCAUUGGGGAAUUUUCCGCAAUGGGCGAAAGCCUGACGGAGCAAGACCGCGUGAGGGAGGAAGGCUCUUGGGUUGUAAACCUCUUUUCUCAGGGAAGAAGCUCUGACGGUACCUGAGGAAUCAGCCUCGGCUAACUCCGUGCCAGCAGCCGCGGUAAUACGGAGGAGGCAAGCGUUAUCCGGAAUUAUUGGGCGUAAAGCGUCCGCAGGUGGCGAUUCAAGUCUGCUGUCAAAGCACGGGGCUUAACUCCGUAAAGGCAGUGGAAACUGAAUAGCUAGAGUGCCGUAGGGGUAGAGGGAAUUCCCGGUGUAGCGGUGAAAUGCGUAGAGAUCGGGAAGAACAUCGGUGGCGAAAGCGCUCUACUGGACGGCAACUGACACUCAGGGACGAAAGCUAGGGGAGCGAAUGGGAUUAGAUACCCC